GCCGGGAUAGCUCAGUCGGUAGAGCAGAGGACUGAAAAUCCUCGUGUCACAAGUUCAAAUAA
This 62-nucleotide transfer RNA is filed under the name Hymenophyllum wrightii. RNAcentral describes it as "partial tRNA-Phe". It matches the Rfam family "tRNA", at positions 1 to 60 of the family's 71-position model. From Rfam's summary of the family: Transfer RNA (tRNA) molecules are approximately 80 nucleotides in length. Their secondary structure includes four short double-helical elements and three loops (D, anti-codon, and T loops). Further hydrogen bonds mediate the characteristic L-shaped molecular structure. tRNAs have two regions of fundamental functional importance: the anti-codon, which is responsible for specific mRNA codon recognition, and the 3' end, to which the tRNAs corresponding amino acid is attached (by aminoacyl-tRNA synthetases). tRNAs cope with the degeneracy of the genetic code in two manners: having more than one tRNA (with a specific anti-codon) for a particular amino acid; and 'wobble' base-pairing, i.e. permitting non-standard base-pairing at the 3rd anti-codon position. Lineage: Eukaryota; Viridiplantae; Streptophyta; Polypodiopsida; Hymenophyllales; Hymenophyllaceae. The record is from RNAcentral.